AUUGAACGCUGGCGGCGUGCCUAACACAUGCAAGUCGAGCGGUAACAGGUGUAGCAAUACAUGCUGACGAGCGGCGGACGGGUGAGUAACGCUUGGGAAUCUGCCUAUUAGUGGGGGACAACCCGGGGAAACUCGGGCUAAUACCGCAUACGCUCUACGGAGGAAAGCCGGGGACCGCAAGGCCUGGCGCUAAUAGAUGAGCCCAAGUCGGAUUAGCUAGUUGGUAGGGUAANGGCCUACCAAGGCGACGAUCCGUAACUGGUCUGAGAGGACGACCAGUCACACCGGAACUGAGACACGGUCCGGACUCCUACGGGAGGCAGCAGUGGGGAAUAUUGGACAAUGGGCGAAAGCCUGAUCCAGCGACGCCGCGUGGGUGAAGAAGGCCUGCGGGUUGUAAAGCCCUUUCAGUGGGGAAGAAAAGCCUCGACCUAACACGUCGGGGUCUUGACGUAACCCAUAGAAGAAGCACCGGCUAACUCUGUGCCAGCAGCCGCGGUAAC
This 503-nucleotide ribosomal RNA is filed under the name uncultured bacterium. Its description in RNAcentral is "bacterial SSU rRNA". It matches the Rfam family "Bacterial small subunit ribosomal RNA", at positions 29 to 524 of the family's 1533-position model. The record is from RNAcentral.